UUCGGGGGUAAACGGACAGAGCCCGUGAAUCCGGGCGACGGAAUUCAGAAUCGACAACAACGUUGUCGGUUUGAUAUUUCCGUCGCCGCGGACGUCGCGACCCGUUCGGUGUCGGUCUGAGGAGACGUGUAAAAGUUCGCCGACGUUGGUCCAUUCGGGUGCGCGUCGACGAGUGCGCGUUCUUGUUUUCUGGCCGACUCGCCGGACGGUACUAACGGUGGCCGCGACGAUCUUUCGAGCGUCGUCGUCGGUGCCGGUCUGCGACGAAUCUUCGGGCCUCUUUCCGACCCGUCUUGAACAUAGGG
RNAcentral lists this ribosomal RNA (305 nucleotides) under Ferrisia virgata (striped mealybug). Its description in RNAcentral is "partial large subunit ribosomal RNA". The record is from RNAcentral. Lineage: Eukaryota; Metazoa; Arthropoda; Insecta; Hemiptera; Pseudococcidae.